Molecule: ribosomal RNA, 429 nt
Filed under: Acidobacteriota bacterium
Lineage: Bacteria; Pseudomonadati; Acidobacteriota
Description: Acidobacteria bacterium partial 16S ribosomal RNA
Rfam family: Bacterial small subunit ribosomal RNA
Source: RNAcentral
UGGGGAAUUUUGGACAAUGGGGGAAACCCUGAUCCAGCCAUCCCGCGUGUGCGAUGAAGGCCUUCGGGUUGUAAAGCACUUUUGGCAGGAAAGAAACGUCAUGUGUUAAUACUCCGUGAAACUGACGGUACCUGCAGAAUAAGCACCGGCUAUCUACGUGCCAGCAGCCGCGGUAAUACGUAGGGUGCAAGCGUUAAUCGGAAUUACUGGGCGUAAAGCGUGCGCAGGAGGUUCGGAAAGAAAGAUGUGAAAUCCCAGAGCUCAACUUUGGAACUGCAUUUUUAACUACCGGGCUAGAGUGUGUCAGAGGGAGGUGGAAUUCCGCGUGUAGCAGUGAAAUGCGUAGAUAUGCGGAGGAACACCGAUGGCGAAGGCAGCCUCCUGGGAUAACACUGACGCUCAUGCACGAAAGCGUGGGGAGCAAACAGG